AGAUUGAACGCUGGCGGCAUGCCUAACACAUGCAGGUCGAACGGUAACAGGCCCUUCGGGGUGCUGACGAGUGGCGGACGGGUGAGUAAUGCGUAGGAAUCUACCCACGAGUGGGGGAUAGCCCGGAGAAAUCCGGAUUAAUACCGCAUAUGCCCUACGGGGUAAAGCGGGGGAUCGUAAGACCUCGCGCUGGUGGAUGAGCCUACGUCCGAUUAGUUAGUUGGUGGGGUAACGGCCUACCAAGGCGACGAUCGGUAGCUGGUCUGAGAGGAUGAUCAGCCACGACUGGACUGAGACACGGCCCAGACGUCCUACGGAGGCAGC
Molecule: ribosomal RNA, 324 nt
Filed under: uncultured prokaryote
Description: bacterial SSU rRNA
Rfam family: Bacterial small subunit ribosomal RNA
Source: RNAcentral